This is a small nuclear RNA of Rattus norvegicus (Norway rat), 110 nucleotides long. Lineage: Eukaryota; Metazoa; Chordata; Mammalia; Rodentia; Muridae. The record is from Ensembl.
GUUUUAUCCAUUUCAGCAGCACAAACCCCAAAACUGGAAUAACACAGAGAAGAUCGGUAUGGCCUCUCUGCAAGAAUGACAUACAAAUUCAUGAGCAGGCCUGCUUUCAC